RNAcentral lists this long non-coding RNA (511 nucleotides) under Malus domestica (apple). RNAcentral describes it as "long non-coding RNA (MDOM_LNC013199)". Lineage: Eukaryota; Viridiplantae; Streptophyta; Magnoliopsida; Rosales; Rosaceae. The record is from RNAcentral.
GUGUCCAUGCCCUUGUGCUUUCUUCUCAAGUUCUUUGUUCAUUUAACAAAGAAACAAGCACUAGUGUUUGCAUUGACUAAGGGUUGUUCAAAGCAACUCUUAUUUCUUCAUACAACGAUUUGUAAGUGAAGAACUAACAACACUAAAAGUGUCCUUGUCAUUAUGCUAAUCUUCGUAAGUUCCUUUGUUCAUAUAACGAAGGAAUAAGCAUUGGUUGUUUGUGUUGUCCUUUUACAUGAUAGACUUAUCUAACAUGUUCUUCCAAUGUUACAUUACCAAUAGGAAGAAUUUGAGGAUUAGACUACUUAGGUACAUAUACAAUCCAUUUAAGACAAUCUUUGGGAUUUUUGUACCAAGUCCGGAAACUAAAGCAUUCGGCUUUUCUUUGUCAAGUUUUGGAUAGAGUUUGCAAAUAUAUUGGUAAACAAAUACAUAAUGAAUAUAAAUUGAUUGAUUUUAAGCCAUUUGAUUCGGGUCUUUAAAUCAAAUAGCACCACCCACUAUUUUUGGC